UACCUAGGUCCCGAGCGUUGUCCGGAUUUAUUGGGCGUAAAGCGAGCGCAGGUGGUUUAUUAAGUCUGGUGUAAAAGGCAGUGGCUCAACCAUUGUAUGCAUUGGAAACUGGUAGACUUGAGUGCAGGAGAGGAGAGUGGAAUUCCAUGUGUAGCGGUGAAAUGCGUAGAUAUAUGGAGGAACACCGGUGGCGAAAGCGGCUCUCUGGCCUGUAACUGACACUGAGGCUCGAAAGCGUGGGGAGCAAACAGG
RNAcentral lists this ribosomal RNA (252 nucleotides) under uncultured bacterium. Its description in RNAcentral is "partial 16S ribosomal RNA". It matches the Rfam family "Bacterial small subunit ribosomal RNA", at positions 524 to 776 of the family's 1533-position model. The record is from RNAcentral.